RNAcentral lists this transfer RNA (75 nucleotides) under Verrucomicrobiota bacterium. RNAcentral describes it as "Verrucomicrobia bacterium (activated sludge metagenome) tRNA-OTHER". It matches the Rfam family "tRNA". From Rfam's summary of the family: Transfer RNA (tRNA) molecules are approximately 80 nucleotides in length. Their secondary structure includes four short double-helical elements and three loops (D, anti-codon, and T loops). Lineage: Bacteria; Pseudomonadati; Verrucomicrobiota. The record is from RNAcentral.
CCGUUGGUAGUCUAACAGGUAAGACGGUCCUCCACCUUUAAGGAACUGUUGGGAGUUCGAGUCUCCCCCAACGGA